GAAACUACUAAGCACCGGUCAACAUUAUACCGCCAAGGACCCACAAGAGUCUCCCUCCAACCAGGAGGCCAAUCACAACGCGACACAUGUCAACAUCAGAGGCCAAUCAUAACGCGACACGUGUUGACAUCAGAGGCCAAUCACAGCACGACACGUGUCAAUGUUAGAAUGAAACUAGAAACUCUCUUCUAUAAAUAGAGAUCAUUCUCUCACAAUAUUUCCUAAUGUCAUUUGUACUAAAUCAUUCACUAGUACUCACUAAAGAAGAACUUGAACCUAUGUACUUAUGUAAACCCUUCACAAUUAAUGAGAACUCCUCUACUCCGUGGACGUAGCCAAUCUGGGUGAACCACGUACAUCUUGUAUUUGCUUCCCUAUCUCUAUCCAUUUGCAUACUUAUCCACACUAGUGACCAGAGCAAUCUAGCAAAGGUCACAAACUUGACACUUUCUGUUGUACCAAAGUCCUCACUGAUUUUGUGCAUCAACAAAGUUUAUUAAUAAAAAAUGUUAUUACUUUAUUGGCUAGAUUAUUGCCAUUUCGAUAAACUCCAUCCGCUAUUACAAGGGCUUCUUGCCAAGCUUUCAAAUAUUUAUGUAGAUGUUUGUACCUACUAUUGCUCGGUUUAGGAUGUGCCUUGAAUCUGCUUCAUAAAUUGUGCAUAAAUCGUCUUUCACAUUUGUUGCACCCUCAUAUCAUUCAUGUGACCAGGUCAUGAGUAACAUACACGGAAAACCACAAGCAAAGUAACAUCUUCCCCGAUCAACCAAAUUGCUUUCUCACUCUUUUUUUUUGGUAGAAAAAGGAUUUGUAAAGUGAAAAACAAAUAUAGAAGAUUGUAAUAAAAAUUAUAUUGAGUUCUGAUGUGGGAAUGAAAAAUAUGGUUGGGUAUUUAUAGAAUAAUAAUAAAAGAAAAUCAUUUUUUUUU
Molecule: long non-coding RNA, 928 nt
Filed under: Malus domestica (apple)
Lineage: Eukaryota; Viridiplantae; Streptophyta; Magnoliopsida; Rosales; Rosaceae
Description: long non-coding RNA (MDOM_LNC012412)
Source: RNAcentral